UACGUAGGGUGCGAGCGUUGUCCGGAAUUAUUGGGCGUAAAGAGCUUGUAGGCGGUCUGUCGCGUCUGCUGUGAAAAUCCGGGGCUCAACCCCGGACUUGCAGUGGGUACGGGCAGACUAGAGUGUGGUAGGGGAGACUGGAAUUCCUGGUGUAGCGGUGAAAUGCGUAGAUAUCAAGAGGAACACCUGCGGCGAAGGCGGGUUGCUGGGCCGACACUGACGCUGAGGCGCGAAAGCCAGGGGAGCGAACGGG
This 253-nucleotide ribosomal RNA is filed under the name uncultured bacterium. Its description in RNAcentral is "partial 16S ribosomal RNA". It matches the Rfam family "Bacterial small subunit ribosomal RNA", at positions 524 to 776 of the family's 1533-position model. The record is from RNAcentral.